RNAcentral lists this ribosomal RNA (380 nucleotides) under uncultured eukaryote. Its description in RNAcentral is "partial 18S ribosomal RNA". It matches the Rfam family "Eukaryotic small subunit ribosomal RNA", at positions 592 to 976 of the family's 1831-position model. The record is from RNAcentral.
CAAUAGCGUAUAUUAAAGUUGUUGCGGUUAAAAAGCUCGUAGUUGGAUUUCUGCUGAGGAUGACCGGUCCGCCCUCCGGGUGAGUAUCUGGCUCAGCCUUGGCAUCUUCCUGAAGAACGUAACUGCACUUGACUGUGUGGUGCGGUAUUUAGGACAUUUACUUUGAGGAAAUUAGAGUGUUUCAAGCAAGCGCACGCCUUGAAUACAUUAGCAUGGAAUAAUAAGAUAGGACCUCGGUUCUAUUUUGUUGGUUUCUAGAGCUGAGGUAAUGAUUGAUAGGGAUAGUUGGGGGCAUUCGUAUUUAACCGUCAGAGGUGAAAUUCUUGGAUUUGUUAAAGACGGACUACUGCGAAAGCAUUUGCCAAGGAUGUUUUCAUUGA